UAAUAACUAUUCUUAUUAAUAACUAUUUUUAUAUUUACCGGCGCUGUGGGGGUUGGCUAGCUCGCUGGGGGUGGCGGGCUGUGGAUUUGCUUAAUCGUGAGCUGCUUAAUUUGUUCAAACAACUCUGGUUUUUCCGCCAACACGCUAAAGAGCUUCUCUUUGCCAAUCGCAAUGUUUUGGCUCUUAAACGAAUAUGCAUUGUCACUGCGCACCACCACAUUGUGUUUAAGCGCUAACUCAAUCACUUCGUGUUCAUACACAAUACCGCGGUUAAACAUAAUUUCCAAAAAGGCAACACCAAACGGGCGCGCUACCUUAUUCUUGGACACGGUUAACUUACUCUUAAUGCCGACAUAGUUACCAAAGCGGUCUUUGAGCAGUUCACUGCGUUUGGCCUCCAUCCGCAUCGAAGCGUAGAACUUCAACGCCCGACCCCCAGUAGUUACUUCCCCAUUACCAAACAUGACUCCGGGUUUUUCCCGGAGUUGGUUAAUAAACAGUAAGCAGGUGUCAGAUUCAGGUAAGAGUGACUGCACACGGCGUAGUCCCUUAGACAUCAUCCGCGCAUGGAGUCCUAUUGUCUGGUCAUCCAUGUUGCCCUCCAGUUCUUGCUUAGGAAUCAAAGCCGCCACGGAGUCCACCACAAUUAAGGCCACUUUGUUGGUCUUAAUCAGUGACUCCAUUAGGGCAAAGGCGUUUUCCCCAUGCUUGGGAUGGGCUACUAGUAAUUUACCCAAGUCAAUCCCAAUUGCCUUGGCGUAACUUAAAUCUAGUGCACCCUCAGCAUCAAUGUAACAGGCCACUUUGCCCGCUUUUUGAAAGCUAGCGACUGCAUGUAACGCGACCGUGGUUUUACCCGAGGACUCGUUACCAUAAAGUUCUACAAUGCGCCCUAGUGGCAAACCACCAGUGCCGAGCGCUUCAUCUAAAUGAAGGCUUCCAGUUGAGACAGUUUUAAUUUCACUGUUUUUCUUUGCAUCUAAAAAAUCAAAGUCUGCCAAGUUAUUGUUUUGAAUAAAACUGUUGUCUUGGCUAAUUUUC
Molecule: small RNA, 1041 nt
Filed under: Mycoplasmoides pneumoniae M129
Lineage: Bacteria; Bacillati; Mycoplasmatota; Mycoplasmoidales; Mycoplasmoidaceae
Description: Mycoplasma pneumoniae M129 ncRNA
Source: RNAcentral